UAGAAAAGAAUCAAUGUAGAAAGU
RNAcentral lists this microRNA (24 nucleotides) under Glycine max (soybean). RNAcentral describes it as "gma-miR10426". Lineage: Eukaryota; Viridiplantae; Streptophyta; Magnoliopsida; Fabales; Fabaceae. The record is from miRBase by way of RNAcentral.